GAUGAACGCUGGCGGCGUGCCUAAUACAUGCAAGUCGAGCGAACAGACGAGGAACUUGCUCCUCUUACGUUAGCGGCGGAAGGGUGAGUAACACGUGGAUAACCUACCUAUAAGACUGGGAUAACUUCGGGAAACCGGAGCUAAUACCGGAUAAUAUAUUGAACCGCAUGGUUCAAUAGUGAAAGACGGUUUUGCUGUCACUUAUAGAUGGAUCCGCGCCGCAUUAGCUAGUUGGUAAGGUAACGGCUUACCAAGGCAACGAUGCGUAGCCGACCUGAGAGGGUGAUCGGCCACACUGGAACUGAGACACGGUCCAGACUCCUACGGGAGGCAGCAGUAGGGAAUCUUGCGCAAUGGGCGAAAGCCUGACGGAGCAACGCCGCGUGAGUGAUGAAGGUCUUCGGAUCGUAAAACUCUGUUAUUAGGGAAGAACAAUUGUGUAAGUAACUAUGCACGUCUUGACGGUACCUAAUGAGAAAGCCACGGCUAACUACGUG
RNAcentral lists this ribosomal RNA (497 nucleotides) under uncultured bacterium. Its description in RNAcentral is "partial 16S ribosomal RNA". It matches the Rfam family "Bacterial small subunit ribosomal RNA", at positions 28 to 507 of the family's 1533-position model. The record is from RNAcentral.